RNAcentral lists this ribosomal RNA (440 nucleotides) under uncultured bacterium. RNAcentral describes it as "partial 16S ribosomal RNA". It matches the Rfam family "Bacterial small subunit ribosomal RNA", at positions 338 to 795 of the family's 1533-position model. The record is from RNAcentral.
CCUACGGGUGGCAGCAGUAGGGAAUAUUGCUCAAUGGGGGAAACCCUGAAGCAGCAACGCCGCGUGGAGGAUGAAGGUUUUCGGAUUGUAAAUUCCUUUUGGUAGAGAAGAUAAUGACGGUAUCUAACGAAUAAGCACCGGCUAACUCCGUGCCAGCAGCCGCGGUAAUACGGAGGGUGCAAGCGUUACUCGGAAUCACUGGGCGUAAAGAGCGCGGAGGCGGGAUAGCAAGUCAGAUGUGAAAUCCUAGGGCUUAACCAUAGAACUGCAUUUGAAACUGUUAUUCUAGAGUAUGGGAGAGGUAGGUGGAAUUCUUGGUGUAGGAGUAAAAUCCGUAGAGAUCGAGAGGAAUACUCAUUGCGAAGGCGACCUGCUAGAACAUAACUGACGCUGAUGCGCGAAAGCGUGGGGAGCAAACGGGAUUAGAUACCCUGGUAGUC